RNAcentral lists this ribosomal RNA (301 nucleotides) under uncultured bacterium. Its description in RNAcentral is "partial 16S ribosomal RNA". It matches the Rfam family "Bacterial small subunit ribosomal RNA", at positions 509 to 807 of the family's 1533-position model. The record is from RNAcentral.
CAGCAGCCGCGGUAAUACGUAGGUGGCAAGCGUUGUCCGGAAUUAUUGGGCGUAAAGGGCUCGCAGGCGGUUUCUUAAGUCUGAUGUGAAAGCCCCCGGCUCAACCGGGGAGGGUCAUUGGAAACUGGGAAACUUGAGUGCAGAAGAGGAGAGUGGAAUUCCAUGUGUAGCGGUGAAAUGCGUAGAGAUGUGGAGGAACACCAGUGGCGAAGGCGACUCUCUGGUCUGUAACUGACGCUGAGGAGCGAAAGCGUGGGGAGCGAACAGGAUUAGAUACCCGCGUAGUCCCUGUCUCUUAUAC